RNAcentral lists this ribosomal RNA (432 nucleotides) under uncultured bacterium. RNAcentral describes it as "partial 16S ribosomal RNA". It matches the Rfam family "Bacterial small subunit ribosomal RNA", at positions 29 to 506 of the family's 1533-position model. The record is from RNAcentral.
AACGAACGCUGGCGGCAUGCCUAACACAUGCAAGUCGAACGAGACCUUCGGGUCUAGUGGCGCACGGGUGCGUAACGCGUGGGAACCUGCCCUUAGGUUCGGAAUAACUCCCCGAAAGGGGUGCUAAUACCGGAUAAUGUCUUCGGACCAAAGAUUUAUCGCCUUUGGAUGGGCCCGCGUUGGAUUAGCUAGUUGGUAGGGUAAAAGCCUACCAAGGCGACGAUCCAUAGCUGGUCUGAGAGGAUGAUCAGCCACACUGGGACUGAGACAAGGCCCAGACUCCUACGGGAGGCAGCAGUGGGGAAUAUUGGACAAUGGGCGAAAGCCUGAUCCAGCAAUGCCGCGGGAGUGAUGAAGGCCUUAGGGUUGUAAAGCUCUUUUACCCGGGAUGAUAAUGACAGUACCGGGAGAAUAAGCUCCGGCUAACUCCGU